Molecule: long non-coding RNA, 636 nt
Organism: Eleginops maclovinus (Patagonian blennie)
Lineage: Eukaryota; Metazoa; Chordata; Actinopteri; Perciformes; Eleginopidae
Exons: 4
Source: RefSeq, a predicted model, not a curated record
AGAAGAAGGAGAACGCCCUGUGAUUGGUUGCCGUGUUUUAUAAAGUCACAUGACUGCUGCCCUCUCUCUCAGACUGCAGUGAGAAUCUGUUGUACUUUUGAAGUUUUAUUAAACCUGCUUUAAAACUGGUCCGGAGGAGUCGCUGUCCGGGCUCUCUGCUACGGGACCGCCACUGUUUGGUGGACGUCUUAACGCGUCCCCCUCCUCCUGCAGCAUGUUGAAGGUCAGCACGGACCCCCUCCCCCAACUUUUGUUGAAGGACGACCUCUGACACUGCAGCUGUGAUGACCUCCACCUGACUACUCCAGAUACCCGCCCCUGCAGGUAAACUCACCUGGAGGUCGCUGUUUCAGUUAACAUCAAUAAAGCUAGUUUCAAUCAGAAGUGAAUUCAUAUUUAAUAAUUCCCUGCACGCUGUAAUUAAUGUCCUCCCUUUACGUGAACCUCGUGGUGUGUAUCAGGUUGUUUACUAUUUUAUUGACAUGCCUUGUUUACAUGCUGCUGUGAUGGAAAUAUCUCAAUAUGGGAUCAAUAAAGUUUAUUUAAUAUAAAACGACUUGAAUGUCAACCCUUUAAACCCUGUCAUCCUGCAGUGGGAACAGUGUUCCUGUUUGAAUAAAGUCUCCCAGCAUUUCA